This 504-nucleotide ribosomal RNA is filed under the name uncultured bacterium. RNAcentral describes it as "bacterial SSU rRNA". It matches the Rfam family "Bacterial small subunit ribosomal RNA", at positions 15 to 518 of the family's 1533-position model. The record is from RNAcentral.
GAUCCUGGCUUAGGAUGAACGCUGGCGGCGUGCUUAACACAUGCAAGUCGAGCGAAGCUCCUUGUUGAUUCUCGGAUGAAACAAGGAUGACUGAGCGGCGGACGGGUGAGUAACGCGUGGAGAACCUGCCCCGUACCGGGGGAUAACAGUUAGAAAUGACUGCUAAUACCGCAUAAGCGCACACUAUCGCAUGAUAGAGUGUGAAAAACUCCGGUGGUACGGGAUGGCUCCGCGUUGGAUUAGCCAGUUGGCGGGGUAACGGCCCACCAAAGCGACGAUCCAUAGCCGGCCUGAGAGGGCGACCGGCCACAUUGGGACUGAGACACGGCCCAAACUCCUACGGGAGGCAGCAGUGGGGAAUAUUGCACAAUGGGGGGAAAAACCCCCUGAUGCAGCGACGCCGCGUGAACGAAGAAGUAUUUCGGUAUGUAAAGUUCUAUCAGCAGGGAAGAAAAUGACGGUACCUGACUAAGAAGCCCCGGCUAAAUACGUGCCAGCCGCCGC